GUGGCGACAAAUGCGUCCUACUUUGCCCUGAAUUCUAAGGAUGGUCCGAUGUAUCCUUCAUGUCCUACUAUAUCCCAGGAUUCAUUGCGGGUCAUAGAGGAGAUUUGUUUCUGAUAACGAUGGUGGUCGAAGCGGGAGAGGAAAACACUUUCAAAUGACAAUUCUGGAGAAGAUGGGCCUGCAGGGGAAAGUCACCCCCUUGCAGGCCAGAAGACAUGAGAUAACUUUAAAGAAUACAAAGAUUGCAAGUAUCCAGGCUCAAGA
Long non-coding RNA from Pelmatolapia mariae (spotted tilapia), 264 nucleotides. RefSeq lists it as uncharacterized. The transcript is spliced from 3 exons. The record is from RefSeq and is a predicted model, not a curated record. NCBI's taxonomy places the organism in Eukaryota, Metazoa, Chordata, Actinopteri, Cichliformes, Cichlidae.